CCUACGGGGUGCAGCAGUAGGGAAUAUUGCUCAAUGGGGGAAACCCUGAAGCAGCAACGCCGCGUGAAGGAUGACUGUUUUCGGAUUUUAAACUCCUUUUUUUAAAGGAGUUAAUUACGGUAUCUAACGAAUAAUCACCGGCUAACUCCGUGCCAGCAGCCGCGGUAAUACGGAGGGUGCAAGCGUUACUCGGAAUGACUGGGCGUAAAGAGCGCGUAGGCGGGAUAGCAAGUCAGAUGUGAAAUUCUAUGGCUUAACCAUAGAACUGCAAUUGAUACUGUCAGUCUAGAGUACGGGAGAGGUAGGUGGAAUUCUUGGUGUAGGGGUAAAAUGCGUAGAGAUCAAGAAGAAUACUGAUUGCGAAGGCGACCUGCUAGAACAUAACUGACGUUGAUGCGCGAAAGUGUGGGGAGCAAACAGGAUUAGAUACCCGGGUAGUC
RNAcentral lists this ribosomal RNA (440 nucleotides) under uncultured bacterium. RNAcentral describes it as "partial 16S ribosomal RNA". It matches the Rfam family "Bacterial small subunit ribosomal RNA", at positions 338 to 795 of the family's 1533-position model. The record is from RNAcentral.